RNAcentral lists this ribosomal RNA (732 nucleotides) under Triticum aestivum (bread wheat). RNAcentral describes it as "partial small subunit ribosomal RNA". Lineage: Eukaryota; Viridiplantae; Streptophyta; Magnoliopsida; Poales; Poaceae. The record is from RNAcentral.
AUGCUACCCGCCGGGAAGACCACGCCGUCGUCAGGCACCUCUCUCGUGCUGGCCGGCAACAAGGCAGCGUCGGCGUCGCCUUCGAUGGUCUUCGCCAAGCAAGCGCCGGCCGGCGGUCUGGUGCUUGCCGUGGACGGCAAGCGCUCGGUGGCCACGCUCGCUCCCGUCCAGGGACGCGGCCCCGCCUUCUCCGACGACGACCGCAAGCCCAAGGGGUUCUCGGCGGAGAAGAUCAAGACCAUGGCAGAGGAAACGUCCUCUCUGCUGCGGGGCCUCUGCGUUCCAAAGCAGAGCAGCAUCGCCGAGCAAGUUUGCUUCUCCAAAGAAGUCGAGGCCCUCCAGAAGGCGUGCGACGGGAUGGUCGCCGGAGCACCCUUCGACGAAGAUGAGGCCAUAAACAUGCUGAUCGGCGUGCAAGCUCGUAUCCGUCUCCUCCUGCUCCCCUCUGACAACAAGCAGACCCCCCAGGAAUUCCUCAUCUCCUCCAUGGGUGAGAACAAGGCCUCGGUGGAGGAGUACAUGUCUGUGGAGGACAAGAUCACGGGUGAAGCUGAGGGAAGGACCAGCCUGUACGAGAUGGUGAAGAAAUCCUCACUCGUCGAGCCCACGCCCACCGUGUGCUCGGACGAUGAGGUGAAGGCCGUGCUCCACAAGACUCACGCUCCUCGAGUCUUCUGGCCCGGCGCACUCAACGACCGGCAUGGCCGGCCUGUUCUACAAGGUGCGUUCUAA